UACAGAGGUCUCAAGCGUUGUUCGGAUUCAUUGGGCGUAAAGGGUGCGUAGGCGGCGCGGUAAGUCGGGUGUGAAAUCUCGGAGCUUAACUCCGAAACUGCAUUCGAUACUGCCGUGCUUGAGGACUGGAGAGGAGACUGGAAUUUACGGUGUAGGGGUGAAAUCCGUAGAUCUACGAAGGAACGCCAAAAGCGAAGGCAGCUCUCUGGGUCCCUACCGACGCUGGGGUGCGAAAGCAUGGGGAGCGAACAGG
RNAcentral lists this ribosomal RNA (253 nucleotides) under uncultured bacterium. Its description in RNAcentral is "partial 16S ribosomal RNA". It matches the Rfam family "Bacterial small subunit ribosomal RNA", at positions 524 to 776 of the family's 1533-position model. The record is from RNAcentral.